UUUCACUAGGGGAGCUUAUAGCUGAGAGGAUGCGUCCGACCCUUGGAACCUGUUGGGUUAAUACCUGCGUAGGGAAGUGACAAAGC
RNAcentral lists this non-coding RNA (86 nucleotides) under uncultured Mitsuokella sp. Its description in RNAcentral is "TPP riboswitch (THI element)". It matches the Rfam family "TPP riboswitch aptamer (THI element)", at positions 6 to 97 of the family's 105-position model. Rfam says of the family: Vitamin B(1) in its active form thiamin pyrophosphate (TPP) is an essential coenzyme that is synthesised by coupling of pyrimidine and thiazole moieties in bacteria. The previously detected thiamin-regulatory element, thi box was extended, resulting in a new, highly conserved RNA secondary structure, the THI element, which is widely distributed in eubacteria and also occurs in some archaea. Lineage: Bacteria; Bacillati; Bacillota; Negativicutes; Selenomonadales; Selenomonadaceae. The record is from RNAcentral.